This 253-nucleotide ribosomal RNA is filed under the name uncultured bacterium. Its description in RNAcentral is "partial 16S ribosomal RNA". It matches the Rfam family "Bacterial small subunit ribosomal RNA", at positions 524 to 776 of the family's 1533-position model. The record is from RNAcentral.
UACAGAGGGGGCAAGCGUUGUUCGGAAUUACUGGGCGUAAAGGGCGCGUAGGCGGUGGAUCAAGUCAGGCGUGAAAGCCCCGGGCUCAACCUGGGAACCGCGCUUGAGACUGGUGCGCUAGAGUUCGGGAGAGGAUGGUGGAAUUCCCAGUGUAGAGGUGAAAUUCGUAGAUAUUGGGAAGAACACUGAUGGCGAAGGCAGCCAUCUGGACCGACACUGACGCUGAGGCGCGAAAGCGUGGGAAGCAAACAGG